Lingula anatina is the source of this 309-nucleotide long non-coding RNA. Lineage: Eukaryota; Metazoa; Brachiopoda; Lingulata; Lingulida; Lingulidae. The record is from RefSeq and is a predicted model, not a curated record.
GUCCGUCUACGAAGUGGCUGCGUCGGGGGAAGUGUUCAGCGAGUCCUGCCAUGGUCCGUCUACGAGGUGGCUGCAUCGAGGGAAGCGUCGAUUAUGUCAAUUCUCAGAGCUGACAACUUCAAGACAACAAAACGAAAAGGAGAAGAGACCCUGGAAAACCCCAACGUGAACACGAGCAGCUUGUCAACAAGAAGUGCAGUGACCUGAAGACCUGCACUUGUUUGAAAUUAAAGAGAGUUUGGAAAGUGUUGUGUAGUCAUUGCUACGAAAGGGAGUUUUCUAGAAAUAAUGCCCGAACGCAGAUACACU